Molecule: long non-coding RNA, 786 nt
Filed under: Canis lupus familiaris (dog)
Lineage: Eukaryota; Metazoa; Chordata; Mammalia; Carnivora; Canidae
Description: lncRNA (ENSCAFG00805016140.1, ENSCAFG00845024916.1)
Source: RNAcentral
AUGUCAAACUUCUGUCAGUUUCCUCACUUGCAUCUGGACAAAACCCAAAUGAGAGACUGUCUACCUAAGAAUAUAAAUGAACUGAAAGUGAUCACUAAGUUUCUCCACCUAGAAGCUGAAAUCUUGUUACUGCUGUUCAUUAAAAAAAAAAAAAAAAGAAUUCCACAAGUACUCCUCCAAGAAGGGUAUAUAAAGGCGGGUGAGGAGGCCUCGGGCAGAUCACUGGGAAAUUUUGGCAUGGGCAAGGUGACCUAUAAGCCACAAACUUCUAGCAGAGUUACAGAACAACCGACUCCAAGCACCUCAGGGAGAAAAGAGAAGACCCCCUUUCAACUCGGGUCCAGAGACAGUGACAUGGUAGCCAAGACAAUUAUGAAAGCUAAAAGAUAUCCUCAAGGGAGUUUAAGAGAAGACACCUCUUCCAGAGUUCCCAUCCCUUUAAUUAAUUCUAAGAAAACCAAAGGAUCAAUCCUAUUCAGCCAUUAUCACAAGCUGAAUGAAAAGCUGAAUCAAAAUGAACCCAAGCAGUCCCAAGAGAGUGUAGAAAAACCCACCACUUCAGAUGAAGAGCCGGGCAGCCAGAACUUCAGAGUGGAGCCAGAGGCCUCAAAUAUCUGUGAAAUCUCCAAAGUCUAGCCACUUCGAAAUGGCAACUACUUAGAGACCAAACUACACGAACAGGGUACAUGCAUGGUAAUGAAUAAAAUAAAAAUUCACCCUGUUGUGAAAAUUUGCAUGUGUGUCUCUGUGAGUUCUCUGAUUGUAGGGAAGGAUAAAGGAAAGGGG